Molecule: non-coding RNA, 1057 nt
Organism: Vigna umbellata (rice bean)
Lineage: Eukaryota; Viridiplantae; Streptophyta; Magnoliopsida; Fabales; Fabaceae
Source: RefSeq, a predicted model, not a curated record
AAUCUUAUUAAAAGCACUUCCAAAGAAAUUCGAAUUGCAUCCCCUUCAUCUUGGAGACGCGCUUCUGACAGAGGCUGAAACCCCUCUGUAAAACAAUGGCUUCCUCCAACACUCCCAAAUCCCAUAAAUCUCCCAAAGCCAAGAAAGGAGAAAUCUCCACCACCCAAAUUAAAGCGAAGGAGAAAAUUCGAGACAUCACCAAAGAGGAGAACCAAAAGAAGAAGAAUAAGAAGCCCAAGCUCAGCAAUGGCAAUUCCAAACACCCACACGAAAAGGGCGCAGAAGGAAGCGGCGAAGAUGGGAAAGCCAACGUGUUUCCCAUGAAUCGUAUCAGGACCAUGAUCAAGGGCGAAGAUCCUGAUAUGCGUGUUUCGCAGGAAGCGGUGUUAGCCAUCAACAAAGCUGUGGAGAAGUUUCUUGAGCAAUUCACGCAGGACGCUUAUGCUUGUUGUGUCCAGGACCGCAAGAAAUGUUUGAGUUACAAGCACGUUGGUGCACUAUCUGAGCAUUUUACUCUCUGGCCGUAGCUGCACCUGUUGAGCACUUUUUCUUUAUGAGAGGUGUCUCACUCUCCAAGCAGUUUUUGCUCUUUAGCAGCUGUCAGGCCCUUUAAGCAUUUUUGCUCUUUGCAAAUGUUGUUAGUAAGAAGAGGAGAUACGACUUUCUUUCCGAUUUUGUUCCUGAGAAAGUGAAAGCUGAGGAUGCAUUAAGAGAGAGAGAUGCAGCAGGCAAUGGAGUAUUUCAGAAAAUCUAAAGCGAGCUAAUGGAGAAUCUAAAGUAUAGUACAUUAUAGAAUCAUGUCACAUUUUGUAACGACAUGCUUUAGGAUCAGUAUUACUGUUUUAUAAUUUUCGAUAUUUUAUUUAUUUUCGCACUUCUCUUUCUUAAUAGUUUUAUUCUCGUAGUUGUAUUACUGUAUAUGGUUUUUCAGUGACCAGGCAUGCUUAAUGCUUGAGUCUGUUUUGGUAGCAUGCUGCAAAUUUGCCCGUGGAAAGCUGUGGAACACAAAUGAUUUUUACCACUGGAUGGAAUCAAUGUUUAAGCUAUGUUUGGAUGA